This is a long non-coding RNA of Drosophila yakuba, 2423 nucleotides long. RefSeq lists it as uncharacterized. Lineage: Eukaryota; Metazoa; Arthropoda; Insecta; Diptera; Drosophilidae. The transcript has 2 exons. The record is from RefSeq and is a predicted model, not a curated record.
CGGUUCUGAGACUAUAGCCCAUGAUUUUGAUAUUCCGCAGCUUGGGCUUGUCGCUGUUUGGAUGCUUUGUGGGCAGCAUUCCGGGCCUUGGAUACUGACUGAGGGCCACAUGCUCAUCCGCUAGAAGAGACCGAAAUAAGUCAACUCCUGGGAGCUCUGGCAGUUGGGCAAUUUGGGUAAUCCCGCCAGAUCCACCAAGGUGGGAAAAACAUCCAGAAGUUCUGUGAUCCCGUGAUAGUACCUUGCUUGGGCGAGAGGAAACUGCGGAGUUCUUAUAAUCAAUGGAACCCUGAGAGCCACCUCGAAGUUGCUGUACUUGGCCCACUCGGCGUGCUCGCCCAGGGACCAGCCAUGAUCUCCCAGCACCAACACCACCGUCUCAUCCAGAUCCAAUCCUCCAAUCAGCUUGCCAAACAGAUCAUCCACAUAGGACACCGAGGCGUAGUAGCUCUGUCGUAUCUGAGCAGCCUGGAGUGGCGAUAUCGGGCCGUAGGGAAACGAUAUAUUGGUGUGCUUGAAGUCAUCCCUGGCCCGCACAUCCGUGUAGGGAUUCCAGGCCACUGCCGGCAUAUCCGGCGGCUUCAGGCUGUCCUCCGUGUAGUUGUAAAACUGGGAGAGGUGGAAUCUUGACAGAAAUUGCCGUGGAAACCGGAAAUUAAUGUGAGGCUUGUGAAAACCCAUGGCCAGGAAAAAGGGUUCCUGCUUCCGCGUGCUCCGUGACUCCACAAAGCGCAGUGCCUCCGCCACGGACUCGAUGUCCGGCAGUGUUUUGUACGGCUGGGUUUGCAGCUCCACGGGACAGAUGAGAUUCUUGCGGAGAAUGCCCUCCUUAUCGGGACAUACGGGCGAGUUCAUAAACUGCUCGGUACGGGGACGAAAUGCUGGAGCCGACCAACUUAGGGGAUAGUCAUCCGUGUUGUUGGAGGAGAGGCCAGGAUGGAAGACCUUUCCGCAGCUAUAGGUGUAAUAUCCGUGCUCCUUGAAGUACUGCGGCAAAGUGGUGAAAUUUCCGGUGAAAGUGCGCCAGUAGCUGUAGAAAUCGUACAGAUGCAGAGUAUCCGGUCUUCGACCUGUGAGCAGCGAAUUCCGGCUGGGUGCGCACAGGGAUUGCUGCAGAUUCAUUUUAUAGUUUAUUAUUUCACAUAUCAAUGUCCACAUGCUGCCCACCUGACUGUAAGCUCUUGUAAAGAUGUGACUUCCCCUGGCAAAGUUAUCCAGAUGUGGAGUGCUAGCCAGCGGAUCGCCAUAAGCGCCAAUCACUGGACGCAGAUCAUCGAAGAUCACCAUCACCACGUUCGGUCGUCGUGGCGGAGCAGCUGCGUCCAGCAGCACUGGCAUCAUAAGCAGCGAGAACAGGAGACGAGCAGUGAUCAUGUCUACGGCAAAGGAAGCUCACAACUGUUUACUCGAAGAUGCCGACACGGCGGAUGUGGAUGCCGGCGAGUUUGUUGUGCUACCCUGUGCCCAUGAAAUCUGAUAAGGGGUUAUAUCAGCAGCGUAUACAUUUUGAUUGCAAAUUUAUUAAAAAGUAAAAUCUACAAAAAAUAUAAAAUAAUUUUAAAAAUCUAAAACACUUUCGAGAUAUGAAGAGUUUUGUUUUAGAUGUUCUGCUACACUUGAAGGGUAUAAUUGUGCCAUUUCCAUCUCCACUUGCUUGCUGUUUCGCGCGGUAAAGUCCAAAGAGCAUGGAUAAGAGAAAUCCGACGGGCGGCGCAAUUCAAAACCGCCCUCCAUUAUAUUUCAAUUGAAUUUAACGGAAGCGCGCCUUGUCGACGCUUACAGUGCACUUUUCACAAGUACAGUAAAGGUUCUAUAACCAGAUAAUCGCAUCAGCACCUACACAUAUUCAAAAAUUAAUAAUUAAACAAGUUAUAUACAAACGAAUUCAUAUCAUAUCUCUUAUGUAUGUGUAAUCCGUAAUUAUAAGCUUAUAACAUAAAAUAUAUUGAAAAAUGUUGCAUAGCUUUUAUUUAAAUACAUUUAUAUUACCUAAUUUGUUUGGAGUUUAAAACUUAUGUCACUUAAAAACCUUUUAAAAAGACAAAACACUCUUCCAAUGGAAAACAUUUCAUAACAGAUUUUUUUAAACAUUUUUUUCAUAACUAGGAUUAAUGUCUUGAUUUCGAGAUAGGCAUAUUUUACUGUACAUGACCAUUAUCCGGACUGGAAUGGAAUCGGGUGCAUUCCGCAGACUGGCAUGAAUAAUAUUUACACAUAAUAUAUAAUGAUUUCUAAGCUAACGAUUAAAAAUAACCAAAGAAUGGAAGCUUUGUGAUAUAAUCACUGUGUGCCAACAACGAAAGCCGAAAUGGGGAUCAAAAUUUGGGGUUUUUAUGGAUAAUUCCCAGGUAAUCCACUCUAGAAAACAGUUCCGCAGUUGUAGCAGCGUUUCUCGCGCAUGGCCAAGCAACAGAGGAUUCCCA